AUUGAACGCUGGCGGCAGGCCUAACACAUGCAAGUCGAACGAGUGGCGGACGGGUGAGUAAUGUCUGGGAAACUGCCUGAUGGAGGGGGAUAACUACUGGAAACGGUAGCUAAUACCGCAUACCAUCGGAUGUGCCCAGAUGGGAUUAGCUAGUAGGUGGGGUAAUGGCUCACCUAGGCGACGAUCCCUAGCUGGUGUGGGAGAAUGACCGGCCACACUGGAACUGGGACACGGUCCAGACUACUACGGGAGGGAGCAGUGGGGAAUAUUGCACAGUGGGCGCGAGCCUGAUGCAGCCGUGCCGCGUGUAUGAAGGAGGCCUUCGGGUUGUAAAGUACUUUCAGCGGGGAGGCGGUACCCGCAGAAGAAGCACCGGCUAACUCCGUGCCAGCGGCCGCGGUAAUAC
RNAcentral lists this ribosomal RNA (406 nucleotides) under uncultured bacterium. Its description in RNAcentral is "partial 16S ribosomal RNA". It matches the Rfam family "Bacterial small subunit ribosomal RNA", at positions 29 to 526 of the family's 1533-position model. The record is from RNAcentral.